RNAcentral lists this small nuclear RNA (103 nucleotides) under Catagonus wagneri (Chacoan peccary). The record is from RNAcentral. Lineage: Eukaryota; Metazoa; Chordata; Mammalia; Artiodactyla; Tayassuidae.
GCACUGACCUCACCAGUAUAUAUACUAAAAUUGGAACUGUACAAAGAUUAGCAUGGCCCCUGUGCAAGGAUGACACCAAAUUCAAGAAGCAUUCCGCAUUUUU